This is a long non-coding RNA of Schistocerca cancellata (South American locust), 344 nucleotides long. RefSeq lists it as uncharacterized. The record is from RefSeq and is a predicted model, not a curated record. Lineage: Eukaryota; Metazoa; Arthropoda; Insecta; Orthoptera; Acrididae. The transcript has 3 exons.
UAUUCAACGCAACUCAGCCUUGCGAGAAUACGUGUCAAUAAGGAAUUUCCUCACCGUGAGUCACGUACUGUCAGGACCGACUGUUGGCAGCAUUGCUCUCGUUCGUAUCGUGUGUUUAGCAGACGUUUGUUUACUUUGUACUCGUGGUUAACGCGACAUACGGCGCUUUCGUUUCAUCGUACGAUCGGCGUAAAAUAUUGUGUCGGAGAUUUCAGCAAUCUCGACAGUCAGCAAAAUCGAAGAAGAGAGGUGCAGCUCCGACUGUUUACGGGGAAAUUCGCAGAUCAUCUACCACUUCUUCCAUUUCACGGGGAAAGAGCACAACGUCGUCACCAACUCAGAGG